Molecule: ribosomal RNA, 449 nt
Filed under: uncultured bacterium
Lineage: Bacteria
Description: partial 16S ribosomal RNA
Rfam family: Bacterial small subunit ribosomal RNA
Source: RNAcentral
AAUGAACGCUGGCGGCAUGCCUAACACAUGCAAGUCGAACGAGACCUUCGGGUCUAGUGGCGCAUGGGUGCGUAACGCGUGGGAAUCUGCCCUUGGGUUCGGAAUAACUCGCCGAAAGGCGUGCUAAUACCGGAUGAUGACGUAAGUCCAAAGAUUUAUCGCCCAAGGAUGAGCCCGCGUAGGAUUAGCUAGUUGGUGGGGUAAAGGCCCACCAAGGCGACGAUCCUUAGCUGGUCUGAGAGGAUGAUCAGCCACACUGGGACUGAGACACGGCCCAGACUCCUACGGGAGGCAGCAGUGGGGAAUAUUGGACAAUGGGCGAAAGCCUGAUCCAGCAAUGCCGCGUGAGUGAUGAAGGCCUUAGGGUUGUAAAGCUCCUUUACCCGGGAUGAUAAUGACAGUACCGGGAGAAUAAGCCCCGGCUAACUCCGUGCCAGCAGCCGCAGUAA